This 525-nucleotide ribosomal RNA is filed under the name uncultured bacterium. RNAcentral's name for it is "bacterial SSU rRNA". It matches the Rfam family "Bacterial small subunit ribosomal RNA", at positions 355 to 896 of the family's 1533-position model. The record is from RNAcentral.
UGGGGAAUUUUGCGCAAUGGGGGAAACCCUGACGCAGCAACGCCGCGUGGAGGAUGAAGUCCCUUGGGACGUAAACUCCUUUCGACCGGGACGAUUAUGACGGUACCGGUGGAAGAAGCCCCGGCUAACUUCGUGCCAGCAGCCGCGGUAAUACGAGGGGGGCAAGCGUUGUUCGGAAUUAUUGGGCGUAAAGGGUGCGUAGGCGGUUUGACAAGUCUGAUGUGAAAUCUAUGGGCUCAACCCAUAGUCUGCAUCGGAAACUGUCGGGCUUGAGUAUGGGAGAGGUGAGUGGAAUUUCCGGUGUAGCGGUGAAAUACGUAGAUAUCGGAAGGAACACCUGUGGCGAAAGCGGCUCACUGGACCAUUACUGACGCUGAGGCACGAAAGCUAGGGGAGCAAACAGGAUUAGAUACCCUGGUAGUCCUAGCCCUAAACGAUGAUUGCUUGAUGUGGCAGGUACCCAAUCCUGCCGUGUCGAAGCUAACGCGAUAAGCAAUCCGCCUGGGGAGUACGGUCGCAAGGCUG